GGGUUGUGAGGUUAAGCGACUAAGCGUACACGGUGGAUGCCCUGGCAGUCAGAGGCGAUGAAGGACGUGCUAAUCUGCGAUAAGCGUCGGUAAGGUGAUAUGAACCGUUAUAACCGGCGAUUUCCGAAUGGGGAAACCCAGUGUGAUUCGUCACACUAUCAUUAACUGAAUCCAUAGGUUAAUGAGGCGAACCGGGGGAACUGAAACAUCUAAGUACCCCGAGGAAAAGAAAUCAACCGAGAUUCCCCCAGUAGCGGCGAGCGAACGGGGAGCAGCCCAGAGCCUGAAUCAGUGUGUGUGUUAGUGGAAGCGUCUGGAAAGGCGCGCGAUACAGGGUGACAGCCCCGUACACAAAAAUGCACAUACUGUGAGCUCGAUGAGUAGGGCGGGACACGUGGUAUCCUGUCUGAAUAUGGGGGGACCAUCCUCCAAGGCUAAAUACUCCUGACUGACCGAUAGUGAACCAGUACCGUGAGGGAAAGGCGAAAAGAACCCCGGCGAGGGGAGUGAAAAAGAACCUGAAACCGUGUACGUACAAGCAGUGGGAGCACAGAGCAAUCUGUGUGACUGCGUACCUUUUGUAUAAUGGGUCAGCGACUUAUAUUCUGUAGCAAGGUUAACCGAAUAGGGGAGCCGAAGGGAAACCGAGUCUUAACUGGGCGUUAAGUUGCAGGGUAUAGACCCGAAACCCGGUGAUCUAGCCAUGGGCAGGUUGAAGGUUGGGUAACACUAACUGGAGGACCGAACCGACUAAUGUUGAAAAAUUAGCGGAUGACUUGUGGCUGGGGGUGAAAGGCCAAUCAAACCGGGAGAUAGCUGGUUCUCCCCGAAAGCUAUUUAGGUAGCGCCUCGUGAAUUCAUCUCCGGGGGUAGAGCACUGUUUCGGCAAGGGGGUCAUCCCGACUUACCAACCCGAUGCAAACUGCGAAUACCGGAGAAUGUUAUCACGGGAGACACACGGCGGGUGCUAACGUCCGUCGUGAAGAGGGAAACAACCCAGACCGCCAGCUAAGGUCCCAAAGUCAUGGUUAAGUGGGAAACGAUGUGGGAAGGCCCAGACAGCCAGGAUGUUGGCUUAGAAGCAGCCAUCAUUUAAAGAAAGCGUAAUAGCUCACUGGUCGAGUCGGCCUGCGCGGAAGAUGUAACGGGGCUAAACCAUGCACCGAAGCUGCGGCAGCGACGCUGAUGCGUUGUUGGGUAGGGGAGCGUUCUGUAAGCCUGUGAAGGUGUGCUGUGAGGCAUGCUGGAGGUAUCAGAAGUGCGAAUGCUGACAUAAGUAACGAUAAAGCGGGUGAAAAGCCCGCUCGCCGGAAGACCAAGGGUUCCUGUCCAACGUUAAUCGGGGCAGGGUGAGUCGACCCCUAAGGCGAGGCCGAAAGGCGUAGUCGAUGGGAAACAGGUUAAUAUUCCUGUACUUGGUGUUACUGCGAAGGGGGGACGGAGAAGGCUAUGUUGGCCGGGCGACGGUUGUCCCGGUUUAAGCGUGUAGGCUGGUUUUCCAGGCAAAUCCGGAAAAUCAAGGCUGAGGCGUGAUGACGAGGCACUACGGUGCUGAAGCAACAAAUGCCCUGCUUCCAGGAAAAGCCUCUAAGCAUCAGGUAACAUCAAAUCGUACCCCAAACCGACACAGGUGGUCAGGUAGAGAAUACCAAGGCGCUUGAGAGAACUCGGGUGAAGGAACUAGGCAAAAUGGUGCCGUAACUUCGGGAGAAGGCACGCUGAUAUGUAGGUGAAGUCCCUCGCGGAUGGAGCUGAAAUCAGUCGAAGAUACCAGCUGGCUGCAACUGUUUAUUAAAAACACAGCACUGUGCAAACACGAAAGUGGACGUAUACGGUGUGACGCCUGCCCGGUGCCGGAAGGUUAAUUGAUGGGGUCAGCGCAAGCGAAGCUCUUGAUCGAAGCCCCGGUAAACGGCGGCCGUAACUAUAACGGUCCUAAGGUAGCGAAAUUCCUUGUCGGGUAAGUUCCGACCUGCACGAAUGGCGUAAUGAUGGCCAGGCUGUCUCCACCCGAGACUCAGUGAAAUUGAACUCGCUGUGAAGAUGCAGUGUACCCGCGGCAAGACGGAAAGACCCCGUGAACCUUUACUAUAGCUUGACACUGAACAUUGAGCCUUGAUGUGUAGGAUAGGUGGGAGGCUUAGAAGUGUGGACGCCAGUCUGCAUGGAGCCGACCUUGAAAUACCACCCUUUAAUGUUUGAUGUUCUAACGUUGACCCGUGAUCCGGGUUGCGGACAGUGUCUGGUGGGUAGUUUGACUGGGGCGGUCUCCUCCUAAAGAGUAACGGAGGAGCACGAAGGUUGGCUAAUCCUGGUCGGACAUCAGGAGGUUAGUGCAAUGGCAUAAGCCAGCUUGACUGCGAGCGUGACGGCGCGAGCAGGUGCGAAAGCAGGUCAUAGUGAUCCGGUGGUUCUGAAUGGAAGGGCCAUCGCUCAACGGAUAAAAGGUACUCCGGGGAUAACAGGCUGAUACCGCCCAAGAGUUCAUAUCGACGGCGGUGUUUGGCACCUCGAUGUCGGCUCAUCACAUCCUGGGGCUGAAGUAGGUCCCAAGGGUAUGGCUGUUCGCCAUUUAAAGUGGUACGCGAGCUGGGUUUAGAACGUCGUGAGACAGUUCGGUCCCUAUCUGCCGUGGGCGCUGGAGAACUGAGGGGGGCUGCUCCUAGUACGAGAGGACCGGAGUGGACGCAUCACUGGUGUUCGGGUUGUCAUGCCAAUGGCACUGCCCGGUAGCUAAAUGCGGAAGAGAUAAGUGCUGAAAGCAUCUAAGCACGAAACUUGCCCCGAGAUGAGUUCUCCCUGACUCCUUGAGAGUCCUGAAGGAACGUUGAAGACGACGACGUUGAUAGGCCGGGUGUGUAAGCGCAGCGAUGCGUUGAGCUAACCGGUACUAAUGAACCGUGAGGCUUAACCUUACAACGCCGAAGGUGUUU
This 2933-nucleotide ribosomal RNA is filed under the name Escherichia coli. RNAcentral describes it as "23S ribosomal RNA". It matches the Rfam family "Bacterial large subunit ribosomal RNA". Lineage: Bacteria; Pseudomonadati; Pseudomonadota; Gammaproteobacteria; Enterobacterales; Enterobacteriaceae. The record is from RNAcentral.